Molecule: ribosomal RNA, 1293 nt
Filed under: Escherichia coli
Lineage: Bacteria; Pseudomonadati; Pseudomonadota; Gammaproteobacteria; Enterobacterales; Enterobacteriaceae
Description: partial 23S ribosomal RNA
Rfam family: Bacterial large subunit ribosomal RNA
Source: RNAcentral
AUAAUGGGUCAGCGACUUAUAUUCUGUAGCAAGGUUAACCGAAUAGGGGAGCCGAAGGGAAACCGAGUCUUAACUGGGCGUUAAGUUGCAGGGUAUAGACCCGAAACCCGGUGAUCUAGCCAUGGGCAGGUUGAAGGUUGGGUAACACUAACUGGAGGACCGAACCGACUAAUGUUGAAAAAUUAGCGGAUGACUUGUGGCUGGGGGUGAAAGGCCAAUCAAACCGGGAGAUAGCUGGUUCUCCCCGAAAGCUAUUUAGGUAGCGCCUCGUGAAUUCAUCUCCGGGGGUAGAGCACUGUUUCGGCAAGGGGGUCAUCCCGACUUACCAACCCGAUGCAAACUGCGAAUACCGGAGAAUGUUAUCACGGGAGACACACGGCGGGUGCUAACGUCCGUCGUGAAGAGGGAAACAACCCAGACCGCCAGCUAAGGUCCCAAAGUCAUGGUUAAGUGGGAAACGAUGUGGGAAGGCCCAGACAGCCAGGAUGUUGGCUUAGAAGCAGCCAUCAUUUAAAGAAAGCGUAAUAGCUCACUGGUCGAGUCGGCCUGCGCGGAAGAUGUAACGGGGCUAAACCAUGCACCGAAGCUGCGGCAGCGACGCUGAUGCGUUGUUGGGUAGGGGAGCGUUCUGUAAGCCUGCGAAGGUGUGCUGUGAGGCAUGCUGGAGGUAUCAGAAGUGCGAAUGCUGACAUAAGUAACGAUAAAGCGGGUGAAAAGCCCGCUCGCCGGAAGACCAAGGGUUCCUGUCCAACGUUAAUCGGGGCAGGGUGAGUCGACCCCUAAGGCGAGGCCGAAAGGCGUAGUCGAUGGGAAACAGGUUAAUAUUCCUGUACUUGGUGUUACUGCGAAGGGGGGACGGAGAAGGCUAUGUUGGCCGGGCGACGGUUGUCCCGGUUUAAGCGUGUAGGCUGGUUUUCCAGGCAAAUCCGGAAAAUCAAGGCUGAGGCGUGAUGACGAGGCACUGCGGUGCUGAAGCAACAAAUGCCCUGCUUCCAGGAAAAGCCUCUAAGCAUCAGGUAACAUCAAAUCGUACCCCAAACCGACACAGGUGGUCAGGUAGAGAAUACCAAGGCGCUUGAGAGAACUCGGGUGAAGGAACUAGGCAAAAUGGUGCCGUAACUUCGGGAGAAGGCACGCUGAUAUGUAGGUGAAGUCCCUCGCGGAUGGAGCUGAAAUCAGUCGAAGAUACCAGCUGGCUGCAACUGUUUAUUAAAAACACAGCACUGUGCAAACACGAAAGUGGACGUAUACGGUGUGACGCCUGCCCGGUGCCGGAAGGUUAAUUGAUGGGGU